RNAcentral lists this long non-coding RNA (3646 nucleotides) under Phocoena sinus (vaquita). Its description in RNAcentral is "lncRNA (ENSPSNG00000005294.1)". The record is from RNAcentral. Lineage: Eukaryota; Metazoa; Chordata; Mammalia; Artiodactyla; Phocoenidae.
GUCUGAUGUAAGUAUUGCUACCCCAGUUUUCUUUUGAUUUCCAUUUUUGUACAAAGAAUACCUUCUUCCAUGCCCUCACUUUGUCUGUAUGUGUCUUUAGAUUUAAAGUGAGUCUCUUGUAGGCAGCAUAUAUACGGGUCUUGUUUUUGUAUCCAUUCAGGCAGUCUGUGUCUUCUGGUUGAGCAUUUAGUCUGUUUACAUUUAAGGUAAGUAUUGCUAUGUAUAUUCUUGUUGCCAUUUUGUUAAUUGUUUUGGAUUUGUUUUUGUAGGUCUUUUUCUUCCCCUUUCUUCUUUUGUUCUCUUUUAUGCUUUGAUGACUAUUUUUGGUGUUAUUUUGGAUUCUUUUUUCCUUUUUGUGUGUUUAUCUAUUAUAGAUUCUUGGUUUGUGGUUACCACGAAGUUUUUGUAUAGCAGUCUGUAUACAUACCUGAUUGUUUUAUGUUGCUGUUCUCUUAAUUUCAAAUGCAUUUUAAAUACCCUGCAUUUGUACUCUCCUCCCCUCACUAUUACUGUUUUGAUAUAUUUUACAUCUAAUUGUUUUAGGUAUCCUUUAACUGCUUAUUGUGGAUACGGGUGAUAUUACUACUUUUAUCUUUCAGCCUCCCUACUAGCUUUGUGUGUGGAUGAUUUCCUACCUUUACUGUAUGUUUGCCUUUACUGGUAGACUUUUUCCUUCCAUAAUUCUUUUUUCUAGCUGUGGCCUUUUCUUUUUUGCCUAGAGAAGUUCCUUUAACAUUUGUUGUGAAGUUGGUUUGGUGGUGCUGAAUUCUUUUAGCUUUCACUUGUCUGUAGAGCUUGAUUUCUCCAUCAAAUCUAAAUAAGAGUCUUCCUGGGUAGAGUAUUCUUCGUUGUCAGUUUUUCCCUUUCAUCACUUUAAAUAUAUUGUGUCACUCCCUUCUGGCCUGCAGAGUUUCUGCUGAAAAAUCAGCUGAUAGGCUAUGGGAGUUCCCUUGUAUGUUAUUUGUUGCUUUUCCCUUGCUGCUCUUAGUAUUCUGUCUUUAAUUUUUGUCCUUUUGAUUAUAGUGUGUCUUGGUGUGCUCCUCUUUGGGUUAAUCCUUCAUGGGACUCUGUGCUUCCUGGACUUGGGUGACUGUUUCCUUUCCUAGGUUAGGAUGGCUUUCAGCUAUUCUGUCUUCAAAUAUUUUCUUGGGCCCUUUCUCUCUUUUCUCCUUCUGGCAACCCUAUAAUGCAAAUAUUAAUGUGCUUCAUGUUUUCCCAGAGGUGUCUUAAGCUGUCUUCAUUUCUUUUCAGUCUUUUUUCUGUUCAGCAGCAGUGAUUUCUACUAUGUUGUCUUCCAGUCACUGAUCCACUCUUCUGUAUCAUGUAGUCUAUUAUUAUUUUUUGAUGUUGGGGGUAGGAGUUUUAUUAAUUAAUUUAUUUACUGUUGCUGUGUUGGGUCCUCACUUCUGUGCGAGGGCCUUCUCUAGUGUGGCAAGCGGGGGCCACUCUUCAUCGUGGUGCGCAGGCCUCUCACUACCACGGCCUCUCUUGUUGCGGAGCACAGGCUCCAGACGCGCAGGCUCAGCAGCCGUGGCUCACGGGCCUAGUUGCUCCGUGGCAUGUGGGAUCCUCCCAGACCAGGGCUCGAACCUGUGUCUCCUGCAUUAGCAGGCAGAUUCUCAACCACUGCGCCACCAGGGAAGCCCCUCAUGUAGUCUAUUACUGAUUCCUUCUAGUGUAUUUUUCAUUUCAGUUAUUGUACUCUUCGUCUCUGUUUUGUUGUUCUUUAUAUUUUCUCAUUCUUUGUUAAAAAAUUCUAACUUCUUGCUCUGUGCAUCCAUUCUCCUCCUGAGUUCUUUGAUCAUCUAUGAUCAUUACUCUGAACUGUUUCUUGGGUAGAUUGCCUAUUCACUUAACUCUGCUUCUGGAGUUUUAUCUUGUUUCUUGGUCUGGAACAUAGUCCUCUGCCACCUCAUUUUAUCUAUUGCUAUUUAUAUUUUUAUGUACGUGGUAAGUUAGUUACGUUUCUCAUCCUUGAAGUGGCCCUCUGUAGAUGUCCUAUGCGUCCCAGCAGUGCACUCCACCCGUCACCCAAGCUGUAUGCUCUAGAGGUUCCCCCUAAGAGGGUUGCAUGGAUCUUUCUGUUUUGGCUGGCUAUGUGGGUGGUAUGGUAGGCUUGGUUGGUUCCUAGUCUGGUUGUUUGCACAGCCCUGCCUUGCGUGGAUGCUGCUGGCUGCUCUUUAGAGGGGCCUGGUCAUGAGGUGGCUGGUUGUGGAACCCUAAUGGGCCCUGAGGCUAGUGCUGGCACAUUGGUGGGCAGAAUCAGGGUCCCAAAGACUUUGGGGCUGUUGCCUGCCCACUGAGAGAUGAAGCCAGACCCUGGGAGUAGUACCAGACUACUAGCAGUUAGAGGUGUUUCCUGGAGUUUGACUGCAGGGCCCAGGGAUCUCAGAGCUCAUUUCAGAUUGUUGGUGUUGUCAGGGGCCAUUCCUGACAGUUGGUCAUGGGUCCAGAGUGUCUGGAAGGUUGUAUUAGCCUGCUAGUGGGCAGAGCAGGGGGCCGAGUCCGGGUGGGGAUGUGUCCUCACCCAGUUAGUUGUUUGGCCUGUGGCAUCCCAACAUUGGAGCCUUCAGGCUGUUGGAUGGGGCCAGAUCUUGGUGCUAAUGAUCCAACAUGUCAGCCACCUGGAAUGUUCACACAAUUGAAUGUUCCUCAAUGUCUGACACCAGUGUCUGUGUCCCCCUGGGUGAGCUGCUGCCAUCCCCCUGCCUCUCCAGGACAGUCUACAAGACCAGCAGGCAGGUCUGGCCCAGGCUCCUAUCAAAUUACUGAUUUUGCCCUGGGUCCUGGUGUGUGUGAGAUUUUGUGUGUGCCCUUUGAAAAGUGAAGUCUCUGUUUCCCCCAGUCCUGUGGGGCUCCUGCAGUGAAGGCCUCUUGGCCUUCAAAGCCAAAUGCUCUGAGGAUUUGUCUUCCCGUGCCAGACCUCCAGGCUGGGGAACCUGAUGUGGGGCUCAGAACUGUCACUCCUCUGGGAGAUCCUCUACAGUAUAAUUAUUCUCCAGUUUGUGGGUCACCCACUUGUGGGGUAUGGGAUUUGAUUAUAUUUCAAGUCUUCCCCUCCUGUCUUGUGGUACCUUAUUUAUAUCUUUAGUUGUAGAAGAUCUUUUCUGGUAGGUUCCAGGCUUCUUCACAGAUGGUGGUUCUGUAGAUAGUUGUUACUUUGGUGUGCUCACGAGAGGAGGUGAGCUCAGGGUCUUUUACUCUGCCGUCUUCCACACCUACUCUGUACUUUUAUUGAAUUUAUUCCUAAGUAUUUUAUUGUUGAUCCUAUGAGAAUAUAAUUGUUUUCUUUUUUUUAAUUGGAGUACAAUUGCUUUACAAUGUUGUUUCUGCUGUACAAUGAAGUGAAUCAGCUAUACGUAUACAUAUAUCCCCUCCCUCUUGGACCUCCCUCCCACCCUACCCCCAUCCCACCUGACUAGGUCAUCACAGAGCACCAGGCUGAGCUUCCUGUGCUUUAUAGAAUAUGUGUUUUCUUUAUAUUUGGUUUGUUCAUUGCUACAGUAUAUUCAAUUGAUUUUUGUAUAUUGAUCUUAUAUCUUGCUAAACUCAUAUUAGUUUUAAUAGGUUUUUUAGUGGAUUCCUUAAGGUUUUUGUAUACACAAGAUUGUAUCAUCUGCAAGUAAAGUUUUACUUCUUCCUUUCC